Molecule: non-coding RNA, 18 nt
Filed under: Arabidopsis thaliana (thale cress)
Lineage: Eukaryota; Viridiplantae; Streptophyta; Magnoliopsida; Brassicales; Brassicaceae
Source: RNAcentral
GGAGGUGCGAAUGUGCUC